This 409-nucleotide ribosomal RNA is filed under the name uncultured bacterium. Its description in RNAcentral is "bacterial SSU rRNA". It matches the Rfam family "Bacterial small subunit ribosomal RNA", at positions 30 to 439 of the family's 1533-position model. The record is from RNAcentral.
AUUGAACGCUGGCGGCAUGCCUUACACAUGCAAGUCGAACGGCAGCACGGGAGCAAUCCUGGUGGCGAGUGGCGAACGGGUGAGUAAUAUAUCGGAACGUGCCCAGUAAUGGGGGAUAGCCCGGCGAAAGCCGGAUUAAUACCGCAUACGACCUACGGGUGAAAGCGGGGGAUCGCAAGACCUCGCGUUAUUGGAGCGGCCGAUAUCAGAUUAGCUUGUUGGCGGGGUAAAAGCCCACCAAGGCGACGAUCUGUAGCUGGUCUGAGAGGACGACCAGCCACACUGGGACUGAGACACGGCCCAGACUCCUACGGGGAGGCAGCAGUGGGGAAUUUUGGACAAUGGGCGCAAGCCUGAUCCAGCCAUGCCGCGUGUGGGAAGAAGGCCUUCGGGUUGUAACCACUUUGUC